This is a long non-coding RNA of Actinia tenebrosa (Australian red waratah sea anemone), 177 nucleotides long. The record is from RefSeq and is a predicted model, not a curated record. NCBI's taxonomy places the organism in Eukaryota, Metazoa, Cnidaria, Anthozoa, Actiniaria, Actiniidae.
CCGGCGGGCUCGGUGUCAUAUGUGAGUAAAGCAAGACAGCACAGAUACAUUGCUUGGGCUGCCUAAGCAGUGUCUGACCUUGUAUCACAUAUAUACUUUUCAAUGGAAUGAUUCCACUUCAGGUUCCAAUUAUUUUGCUCAAAUCCGCACGUAGUGCUUGGCGUACCGAGAUCAUCU